GGACGAACGCUGGCGGCGUGCUUAACACAUGCAAGUCGAGCGGAAAGGCCACUUCGGUGGUACUCGAGCGGCGAACGGGUGAGUAACACGUGAGUAAUCUGCCCCUGGCUUUGGGAUAGCCACCGGAAACGGUGAUUAAUACCGGAUAUGACAUGGACUCGCAUGGGUUUGUGUGGAAAGUUUUUCGGCCAGGGAUGUGCUCGCGGCCUAUCAGCUUGAUGGUGAGGUAAUGGCUCACCAUGGCUUCGACGGGUAGCCGGCCUGAGAGGGUGACCGGUCACACUGGGACUGAG
RNAcentral lists this ribosomal RNA (293 nucleotides) under uncultured soil bacterium. RNAcentral describes it as "partial 16S ribosomal RNA". It matches the Rfam family "Bacterial small subunit ribosomal RNA", at positions 27 to 323 of the family's 1533-position model. The record is from RNAcentral.